AUCACUUCUCAGACUUUUGGCUAAGAUCAAGUGUAGGUAUCUGUUCUUGUCAGUUUAACAUUAAAGCUACUAGCUGGUACAGAGAACUAGGGUGUGCCCCUGGACACUUCAACAUUGAGAUGAGGAAUGAGAAAACAGGAGGCACCUUGU
Myotis brandtii (Brandt's bat) is the source of this 150-nucleotide non-coding RNA. Lineage: Eukaryota; Metazoa; Chordata; Mammalia; Chiroptera; Vespertilionidae. The record is from Rfam.